GGCUUCCUCAACCUCAGCCCUCCUGGUGUUUUGAGACUACAAUUUCCAUUAUCCCUGACCACUGGUCCUGCUAGCUAGGUAUCAUGGGAAUUGUAGGCCAAAAACAUCUGGAGGGCCAAGGUUGAGGAAGCC
Molecule: microRNA precursor, 132 nt
Filed under: Podarcis lilfordi (Lilford's wall lizard)
Lineage: Eukaryota; Metazoa; Chordata; Lepidosauria; Squamata; Lacertidae
Source: RNAcentral